GGGACUGUAGCUCAGCGGGAGAGCGCCAGACUGAAGAUCUGGAUGUCAAGGGUUCAAAUCCCUUCAGUCCCA
RNAcentral lists this transfer RNA (72 nucleotides) under archaeon. RNAcentral's name for it is "tRNA-Phe". It matches the Rfam family "tRNA". From Rfam's summary of the family: Transfer RNA (tRNA) molecules are approximately 80 nucleotides in length. The record is from RNAcentral.